AAACAGACGUGGAUCUUCAUUGUGACAACUGCAGUGGGCAAAACAAAAACAACUUCAUGCUCUGGUACAGUGCCUGGCGGGUUGGACACAAGCUUCACUCCACACUUAGCAUCCACUUCCUUAUUGCUGGCCACACCAAAUUUGCCCCUGACUGUGGCUUUGGACUAAUCAAGCAAGCAUUCAUGAGGAUCAGAGUCAACACUUUGGCAGACAUCGCCAAGGUAGUGGAAAACAUCUCUCCUGAGAGUCACCUCAAUAUCCCACAGCUUGUUGGAAUGGCAGAUGGCAGAGUGAUAGUCAAGACCUUCGACUGUCAGACGCAUCUGAGUCCCUACUUCUGAAGGCUCUCACAGAUCAAGAGUUAUCAGCACUUCAGCUUUGAUGCCAAGAGACCAGGUGUGGUGCUUGCUAGAACUCACAGUGAUGCAGAACCUGUCGAAUUUCAGCUACUGCACAAUCCAGGAGUUCUGCCCCCUGUUGACAGUCCUCCUGUCUGAACAUUGACAGGCAACCUAUCUUUUUGAAAAAAAUCAGGCCUUUCUGUGCUGACGAGGCAAGAGACAUCACAUGCCCAGUGCCAAGGGUCACAGCACAGAAGAGUACGCAGAAGAGGAUGCGGGUGUGAUAUCACCAAAUAUUGGACUCUCCUUCACACCCUCUCCACAAUGUGCUGAUCAGCCACAGGAGCUCAUUCAGCAACAGACUGAU
This is a long non-coding RNA of Epinephelus fuscoguttatus (brown-marbled grouper), 708 nucleotides long. RefSeq lists it as uncharacterized. The transcript is spliced from 3 exons. Lineage: Eukaryota; Metazoa; Chordata; Actinopteri; Perciformes; Serranidae. The record is from RefSeq and is a predicted model, not a curated record.